UACGGAGGAGGCAAGCGUUAUCCGGAAUGAUUGGGCGUAAAGCGUCCGCAGGUGGCUAUGUAAGUCUGCUGUUAAAGAGUGAGGCUCAACCUCAUAAGAGCAGUGGAAACUACAUAGCUAGAGUGCGUUCGGGGCAGAGGGAAUUCCUGGUGUAGCGGUGAAAUGCGUAGAGAUCAGGAAGAACACCGGUGGCGAAGGCGCUCUGCUAGGCCGCAACUGACACUGAGGGACGAAAGCUAGGGGAGCGAAUGGG
RNAcentral lists this ribosomal RNA (253 nucleotides) under uncultured bacterium. RNAcentral describes it as "partial 16S ribosomal RNA". It matches the Rfam family "Bacterial small subunit ribosomal RNA", at positions 524 to 776 of the family's 1533-position model. The record is from RNAcentral.